This is a long non-coding RNA of Canis lupus familiaris (dog), 1453 nucleotides long. RefSeq lists it as uncharacterized. The transcript is spliced from 2 exons. NCBI's taxonomy places the organism in Eukaryota, Metazoa, Chordata, Mammalia, Carnivora, Canidae. The record is from RefSeq and is a predicted model, not a curated record.
AGUGAGCAAGCUGGAGCCCCAGAGGAGCCAAUGAUGUAAUUCUGGUCCAAAAGCCAGCAGGCUCAAGAUCCAGGAGGAGGCAAUUUUUCAGCUCAAGUCUGCAGGUCUUCAAAAUACAGAGCUAAGAGUGCCUUCCCGGAGGCAGAAGGACUUGCCAGGGUUUUGAUUGUCACAAGCCCAUGAAAUGACCUUGAUGGCGAGAUGGACCCUCAAUGUCCAGCUUCUUUUGCUCUGUCCAGCCUGCCACAGCUCGUCGUGGAACAUGCACAGAAACCAUUACAUCCCCAGCUCUCACAGACUGCUGGCGAUGACUUCUUCAGACUAGUUACUUAAUGAACGUCAUCCAAUUCUGAUUCAGCCUUGCCAUACUCUCAUUUGCGCAAGCCAAUCUGCUUUAUGAUUCUAACCUCUGGCUAGAAACUGCUCCCAAUUUCAUGUCAUCCAUAAACUUGAUGAACGAGUAGCUUGCUCCUCUGCAGUCAUUCAUUUAUUUAUCCAGCCAACAUUUAGUGAGCACCUACUGGAUGCUGGGCACUGGAUAAAGAGUUAAAGGAGAUACUGGUCCUGUCCUUGAAGGACCCAUUCAGUGUGAUCCUGCUCAACUCAGGCAGGGGACAGAGAGCUGGCCCAUCAGGGGAAGGGCAGUUUAAGGUGAUCUUGGGGUGCUGGAAGGAAAUUUGCCAACUUGAGAAGAAAUGGUGUUGCUGGUAGACCAGAGUGUGUAUAGGCAGCUUGUUCUGGGUGGUGAUGGGGAAGGAAAUGAAUUGAUAUCUAUAAAUGCGAGGGGUAACGAGCUUCAGGCUGAGAUCCAGCCUCCCUCUUGGAUCUGCCCAUUUCUGCUUCAUCCUGAUGUUCCAUGUGUGGCAAAUGGCUACCAUCAGGCUCAAACCCAGGCAAAAGAAAUCCACUCUUCUCUCAACAAAAGAGCAAAUCUCCUGGGGUGUCAUUGUCCUUAUUGGGGCACAUGCUCUUCCCUGAUCAAUCAGGGUGGCGGAGGGAAUACAGGCACUCUCAUUGGCCAGCCCUGAGUCACAUGGUAGCUGUGGUCCCUGGAGUGUUGAGCAAGUCUAUCUGUGGGUUGAACAAGUCUAUCUGGGGUGGAGUCUCACUCCAUUGGGGCUGGAAGGCGAGUAGGGAUUCCAGAGCAACGCUGAGUUCCAUUAGCACCAAAAUGUCUGAAUGGGUGCUGGGCUGUGGGAACACAGAUGGCUACUAUGUGGCCACAAGUGGGCUGUGGCAUUCUGUCUCCUCAGGUGGCGGAAGGGGGCUCAUGUGGGUCCUCUCUGUCUGGUGGGUAAAGGGAAGUUCUCACCACCUCUGAGAUGAGGUAGGGCACCUGAGGCCUCCUGCUACCAUGUUCUGUUUACUGGCCAGUUCAACAUGUAUAGGCAUGUCUUGGAGGUAUGGGGGGUUUGGUUCCAGAUACUGCAAUAAAGAGAAUAUAGAAAUAAAA